AUUGAACGCUGGCGGCAGGCCUAACACAUGCAAGUCGAGCGGAUGAAGGGAGCUUGCUCCUGGAUUCAGCGGCGGACGGGUGAGUAAUGCCUAGGAAUCUGCCUGGUAGUGGGGGAUAACGUCCGGAAACGGGCGCUAAUACCGCAUACGUCCUGAGGGAGAAAGUGGGGGAUCUUCGGACCUCACGCUAUCAGAUGAGCCUAGGUCGGAUUAGCUAGUUGGUGGGGUAAAGGCCUACCAAGGCGACGAUCCGUAACUGGUCUGAGAGGAUGAUCAGUCACACUGGAACUGAGACACGGUCCAGACUCCUACGGGAGGCAGCAGUGGGGAAUAUUGGACAAUGGGCGAAAGCCUGAUCCAGCCAUGCCGCGUGUGUGAAGAAGGUCUUCGGAUUGUAAAGCACUUUAAGUUGGGAGGAAAGGCAGUAAGUUAAUACCUUGCUGUGUUGACGUUACCAACAGAAUAAGCACCGGCUAACUUCGUG
RNAcentral lists this ribosomal RNA (484 nucleotides) under uncultured bacterium. Its description in RNAcentral is "partial 16S ribosomal RNA". It matches the Rfam family "Bacterial small subunit ribosomal RNA", at positions 30 to 507 of the family's 1533-position model. The record is from RNAcentral.